AUGGAGUAACCGAAAAGCCAAAAAAGAGUAGGAA
Molecule: non-coding RNA, 34 nt
Filed under: unclassified sequences
Description: DUF805b RNA
Rfam family: DUF805b RNA
About the family: Bacteroidetes, Chlorobi (1 example), Proteobacteria. Lineage (Flavobacteria)
Source: RNAcentral